GGAGGCAGCAGUAGGGAAUAUUCAUAAUCUGCGAAAGCGGGAACCAGCAACGCCGCGUGUGAGAAGAAGGCCUUCGGGUUGUAAUGCACUUUUCGGGAGGAAGAGGAAGGACUGUACUCCCGGAAUAAGUCUCGGCUAACUACGUGCCAGCAGCCGCGGUAAUACGUAGGAGGGCAAACGUUAUCCGGAUUUACUGGGCGUAAAGCGCGUGCAGGCGGUUUGGUAAGUCAGACGUGAAAGCUCCCGGCCUCAACUGGGAGAGGUGCGUUCAAUACUGUCAGACUUGAGGAUGGUAGAGGGAAAGGGAAUUCCAGGUGUAGUGGGGAAAUGGGCAGAUAUCUGGAGGAACACCAGUGGCGAAAGCGGCGUCCUGGACCAUUCCUGACGCUCAGACGCGAAAGCUAGGGUAGCAAACACGAUUAGGAUACCCCGGUAGUCCURGCUGUAAACGAUGUGAACUGGCUGUCGGGGGGUAUUAAAUCCAUCGGUGU
Molecule: ribosomal RNA, 491 nt
Filed under: uncultured bacterium
Lineage: Bacteria
Description: bacterial SSU rRNA
Rfam family: Bacterial small subunit ribosomal RNA
Source: RNAcentral